AACGUAGGUGGCAAGCGUUAUCCGGAUUCACUGGGCGUAAAGCGAGUGCAGGUGGCUUCGUAAGUUGGAUGUGAAAUUUCCCGGCUUAACCGGGAGGGGUCAUUCAAUACUGCGGGGCUUGAGGGCAGAAGAGGGGGGUGGAAUUGCCGGUGUAGUGGUGAAAUGCGUAGAUAUCGGCAGGAACACCUGUGGCGAAAGCGGCCCCCUGGUCUGAUCCUGACACUCAGACUCGAAAGCUAGGGUAG
This 245-nucleotide ribosomal RNA is filed under the name uncultured bacterium. RNAcentral describes it as "partial 16S ribosomal RNA". It matches the Rfam family "Bacterial small subunit ribosomal RNA", at positions 524 to 768 of the family's 1533-position model. The record is from RNAcentral.